RNAcentral lists this long non-coding RNA (889 nucleotides) under Rattus norvegicus (Norway rat). RNAcentral describes it as "long non-coding RNA NONRATT023803". The record is from RNAcentral. Lineage: Eukaryota; Metazoa; Chordata; Mammalia; Rodentia; Muridae.
GAGUUUCCCUGUUCCUGACCCCUUCCCUCACGGCACUCCCUGUCAGCACCACCACAGCCAGGGCUGUCUGCCUCACCAGCGCUGGAAUGACUGAGCUGCUGACCUGUCUCCAGAUGCCUUUUUGCCUCUGGAUUUUAGAGUUCGAUACUAGGAGCCAUAUCCUGUGACCUUGUCCUCUGAGCGUAGAUAAGCUGCUAUAGAGCCAGUAGAUUUAAGGUGGCAGUACUUACUCCUCCCGCCAAAAGCUGGGUGCAGGAGCCCUGCCUGCCUCACUCUACAGGAGAACAAACGCCAGGCGUGUCUUCAUACCAAGGAACCUGACCUCUCUGACAAUUGCAUUUGAACAUUGUUGUCCCCAAAGAGCUCAAUCUUCAAGUCGUCCCUGUGACUGAGCGGAGACUUGUAUGGACUCCUGUCCAGUAGGCAGCUGCUUCUGGUGUCUCUGCUUCAUCGCUUCUCCCUCACUCAUGCUGCUUUUCCGCCGCCUGACCAGACCCGGCAGCUCCAGCUUGCCUGGCCCCACGCACCUUGGGCUCAGGGCCGGAUCAUGCUCGCCCACUCAAGGGCGCACCCUUUGUUUUUAGAGCCAAACCAUGAGGAGAGUUUGGACAACUGUCACACAUGGUGUGUUCUACUGUCAAGCAAGUGCCCUUUUAUACAGUGAAGGGCACAAAUCAGGGACCGGACAUUCACUCAGUGAGUAUUUUCCUGUUGUAAUUGCUUUGAACCAAGCACCUCGGAUCCUGACUACUUUAAACACUGAGCUCCAGUGGUAAGUGAUAAAUUAUUUGAACCCAGGAACUGUAGUUUCCAGAGUCUUUAGCUUUAUUAAAAAAUAAAGAAAACACUGCCAGGCUUCAUUCUUCCACCUGACCCUGUAGAAGUACAU